ACUCAAAUGAAUUGACGGGGGCCCGCACAAGCAGCGGAGCGUGCGGUUUAAUUCGAUGGUACGCGAAGAACCUUACCCAGACUUGACAUGUACGUGGUACCGAUCCGAAAGGUGAGGGACCCGCAAGGGAGCGUACACAGGUGUUGCACGGCUGUCGUCAGCUCGUGUCGUGAGAUGUUGGGUUAAGUCCCGCAACGAGCGCAACCCUCGUGGCCUGUUGUAUCACUCAGGCCGGACUGCCGAGAGAAACUCGGAGGAAGGUGGGGAUGACGUCAAGUCAGCGUGGCCCUUACGUCUGGGGCUACACGCACGCUACAAUGACCGGUCACAGCGAGUUGCGACACCGCGAGGUGGAGCUAACCUCUGAAAACCGGCCUCAGUUCAGAUCGGAGGCUGAAACCCGCCUCCGUGAAGUCGGAGUUGCUAGUAACCGCAGGUCAGCACACUGCGGUGAAUAUGUUCCCGGGCCUUGUACACACCGCCCGU
RNAcentral lists this ribosomal RNA (486 nucleotides) under uncultured bacterium. Its description in RNAcentral is "partial 16S ribosomal RNA". It matches the Rfam family "Bacterial small subunit ribosomal RNA", at positions 899 to 1397 of the family's 1533-position model. The record is from RNAcentral.